UACGAAGGGGGCUAGCGUUGCUCGGAAUUACUGGGCGUAAAGCGCACGUAGGCGGAUUGUUAAGUCGGGGGUGAAAUCCUGGAGCUCAACUCCAGAACUGCCUUUGAUACUGGCAACCUUGAGUCCGGGAGAGGUGAGUGGAACUGCGAGUGUAGAGGUGAAAUUCGUAGAUAUUCGCAAGAACACCAGUGGCGAAGGCGGCUCACUGGCCCGGUACUGACGCUGAGGUGCGAAAGCGUGGGGAGCAAACAGG
RNAcentral lists this ribosomal RNA (253 nucleotides) under uncultured bacterium. RNAcentral's name for it is "partial 16S ribosomal RNA". It matches the Rfam family "Bacterial small subunit ribosomal RNA", at positions 524 to 776 of the family's 1533-position model. The record is from RNAcentral.